AUGAGGCAUCUACUAUCUCCAAUAUUUUACAUCAGUUUUGUUAGCAUUCGGGUCAGCUCCUCAAUUGAAACAAAUCUGCCAUUCUUUUUAGUAAAAAAUGUGUCUUUGCAGGCUAAACAAGAUCUCAAGCAAUUUUUUCAGGUGCCAGACUUGGAUGCCAACAUCAUUCAUCUUGGUCAUCCACUCAUCCUGCCUGCAAAAGAGAGAUCUGCAGCCUACAACUUUGUUUAUGAUAAAUUCAAAUCCAAACUUUCAGCUUACAAGGCGAACAGACUCUCCCAUGUUGCAAGACUCACUCUUAUUAAAUCUGUUUUUGCCUCCAUACCUGUGUAUUAUAUGUCUAAUAUUCUUUUUCCUAAGAAGUUCCUAGGAAAGCUCACUGCGAUUAUAAAAAACUUUUGGUGGACAGGUGUAAGAGAUGAACCUACUACAAAAAGCUUGUGCCUAAGGGCAUGGGCAGACAUUUGCGUUGAGAAGAAAAUUGACGGCUUAGACAUCAGGAACUUGCAGGCAAUCAACCAAGGACUUAUUCUUUCAACGGCAUGGAGGUUGGCAAAAGAACCACAUAGCCAGAUGGCUUUGGUCCUCAAGGCUAAGUAUCACCAUGAAACGUCCAUUUGGAGAGUCAAAGCAAACAAGCCAAAAUCAGCUUUCUAG
This 657-nucleotide ribosomal RNA is filed under the name Triticum aestivum (bread wheat). RNAcentral describes it as "partial small subunit ribosomal RNA". Lineage: Eukaryota; Viridiplantae; Streptophyta; Magnoliopsida; Poales; Poaceae. The record is from RNAcentral.